GAUGAACGCUGGCGGCGUGCCUAAUACAUGCAAGUCGAGCGAACGGACGAGAAGCUUGCUUCUCUGAUGUUAGCGGCGGACAGGUGAGUAACACGUGGAUAACCUACCUAUAAGACUGGGAUAACUUCGGGAAACCGGAGCUAAUACCGGAUGAUAUUUUGAACCGCAUGGUUCAAAAGUGAAAGACGGUCUUGCUGUCACUUAUAGAUGGAUCCGCGCUGCAUUAGCUAGUUGGUAAGGUAACGGCUUACCAAGGCAACGAUGCAUAGCCGACCUGAGAGGGUGAUCGGCCACACUGGAACUGAGACACGGUCCAGACUCCUACGGGAGGCAGCAGUAGGGAAUCUUCCGCAAUGGGCGAAAGCCUGACGGAGCAACGCCGCGUGAGUGAUGAAGGUCUUCGGAUCGUAAAACUCUGUUAUUAGGGAAGAACAUAUGUGUAAGUAACUGUGCACAUCUUGACGGUACCUAAUCAGAAAGCAACGGCUAACUACGUG
Molecule: ribosomal RNA, 497 nt
Filed under: uncultured bacterium
Lineage: Bacteria
Description: partial 16S ribosomal RNA
Rfam family: Bacterial small subunit ribosomal RNA
Source: RNAcentral